AGUUGGAAGAAGACUUAUGGCUUAAACAGGUCCAAAUUGAUAAUUUAACGUGAGAGAAGAGGCGCAAUGAAAGAUGGAGAUGGUGUAGGUUCAAUAGGAAGAUUUUUUUUUUAUGUAUUUUGAUUUUUGUUGUUGUUAUGUUCAUUAGCAGCAAAUGAACUAAAAGUAGUUGCAAGAUCUGGUCUAAUAUGGUGUAAAUUUUGUAUACCUCUCUCUAAAUAUAUCAGAUUAUGUUUGUUAUGUUG
This 245-nucleotide long non-coding RNA is filed under the name Capsicum annuum. Its description in RNAcentral is "long non-coding RNA (CANN_LNC002856)". Lineage: Eukaryota; Viridiplantae; Streptophyta; Magnoliopsida; Solanales; Solanaceae. The record is from RNAcentral.